GUCCACGCCGUAAACGAUGUUCACUAGGUGUUGGGGGUAUUGACCCCCUCAGUGCCGGAGCUAACGCAUUAAGUGAACCGCCUGGGGGAGUACGGUCGCAAGACUAAAAACUCAAAGGAAUUGACGGGGCCCGCACAAGCGGUGGAGCAUGUGGUUUAAUUCGAUGCAACGCGAAGAACCUUACCUGGGCUUGACAUCCCGAGAAUUCCCUGGAAACAGGGAAGUGCCCUUCGGGGAACUCGGAGACAGGUGCUGCAUGGCUGUCGU
RNAcentral lists this ribosomal RNA (267 nucleotides) under uncultured bacterium. RNAcentral describes it as "partial 16S ribosomal RNA". It matches the Rfam family "Bacterial small subunit ribosomal RNA", at positions 793 to 1055 of the family's 1533-position model. The record is from RNAcentral.